This 439-nucleotide ribosomal RNA is filed under the name uncultured bacterium. RNAcentral's name for it is "bacterial SSU rRNA". It matches the Rfam family "Bacterial small subunit ribosomal RNA", at positions 340 to 774 of the family's 1533-position model. The record is from RNAcentral.
UACGGGAGGCAGCAGUGGGGAAUAUUGCACAAUGGGCGCAAGCCUGAUGCAGCCAUGCCGCGUGUAUGAAGAAGGCCUUCGGGUUGUAAAGUACUUUCAGUCGUGAGGAAGGUGUUAAGGUUAAUAACCUUAGCAAUUGACGUUAGCGACAGAAGAAGCACCGGCUAACUCCGUGCCAGCAGCCGCGGUAAUACGGAGGGUGCGAGCGUUAAUCGGAAUUACUGGGCGUAAAGGGCACGCAGGCGGUUAAUUAAGUUGGAUGUGAAAUCCCCGGGCUUAACCUGGGAAUGGCAUUCAAGACUGGUUAGCUAGAGUCUUGUAGAGGGGGUAGAAUUCCAUGUGUAGCGGUGAAAUGCGUAGAGAUGUGGAGGAUACCGGUGGCGAAGGCGGCCCCUGGGACAAGACUGACGCUCAUGUGCGAAAGCGUGGGGAGCGAAAC